Molecule: ribosomal RNA, 301 nt
Filed under: uncultured bacterium
Lineage: Bacteria
Description: partial 16S ribosomal RNA
Rfam family: Bacterial small subunit ribosomal RNA
Source: RNAcentral
CAGCCGCCACGGUAAUACGAAGGGUGCAAGCGUUAAUCGGAAUUACUGGGCGUAAAGCGCGCGUAGGUGGUUUGGUAAGAUGGAUGUGAAAUCCCCGGGAUCAACCUGGGAACUGCAUCCAUAACUGCCUGACUAGAGUACGGUAGAGGGUGGUGGAAUUUCCUGUGUAGCGGUGAAAUGCGUAGAUAUAGGAAGGAACACCAGUGGCGAAGGCGACCACCUGGACUGAUACUGACACUGAGGUGCGAAAGCGUGGGGAGCAAACAGGAUUAGAUACCCGCGUAGUCCCUGUCUCUUAUAA